AGUGAACGCUGGCGGUAGGCCUAACACAUGCAAGUCGAACGGCAGCACAGGAGAGCUUGCUCUCUGGGUGGCGAGUGGCGGACGGGUGAGGAAUACAUCGGAAUCUACUCUGUCGUGGGGGAUAACGUAGGGAAACUUACGCUAAUACCGCAUACGACCUACGGGUGAAAGCAGGGGAUCUUCGGACCUUGCGCGAUUGAAUGAGCCGAUGUCGGAUUAGCUAGUUGGCGGGGUAAAGGCCCACCAAGGCGACGAUCCGUAGCUGGUCUGAGAGGAUGAUCAGCCACACUGGAACUGAGACACGGUCCAGACUCCUACGGGAGGCAGCAGUGGGGAAUAUUGGACAAUGGGCGCAAGCCUGAUCCAGCCAUACCGCGUGGGUGAAGAAGGCCUUCGGGUUGUAAAGCCCUUUUGUUGGGAAAGAAAUCCAGCUGGUUAAUACCCGGUUGGGAUGACGGUACCCAAAGAAUAAGCACCGGCUAACUUCGUGCCAGCAGCCGCGGUAAUACGAAGGGUGCAAGCGUUACUCGGAAUUACUGGGCGUAAAGCGUGCGUAGGUGGUUAUUUAAGUCCGUUGCGAAAGCCCUGGGCUCAACCUGGGAACUGCAGUGGAUACUGGAUGACUAGAAUGUGGUAGAGGGUAGCGGAAUUCCUGGUGUAGCAGUGAAAUGCGUAGAGAUCAGGAGGAACAUCCAUGGCGAAGGCAGCUACCUGGACCAACAUUGACACUGAGGCACGAAAGCGUGGGGAGCAAACAGG
Molecule: ribosomal RNA, 759 nt
Filed under: uncultured Stenotrophomonas sp.
Lineage: Bacteria; Pseudomonadati; Pseudomonadota; Gammaproteobacteria; Lysobacterales; Lysobacteraceae
Description: bacterial SSU rRNA
Rfam family: Bacterial small subunit ribosomal RNA
Source: RNAcentral